UUAGAUAUAAGCCAAUGCAUGCUUUUACAGUAUGGAAAUUGGUGAUUUAUAAUAACUUGGCAAAUCGCAAAGUGAAAACAGGCGAUAAAUCAUUCAAGUUUCUGACCUAUCAGCUUUCGACGGUAUGGUAUUGGCUUACCGUGGCAGUGACGGUUAACGGGGGAUUAGGGUUCGAUUCCGGAGAGGGAGCCUGAGAAACGGCUACCACAUCUAAGGAAGGCAGCAGGCGCGCAAAUUACCCAAUUCUAACAGUUUGAGAGAGGUAGUAACAAGAAAUAACAAUACAAGGCAAUUAAAAUGCUUUGUAAUUGGAAUGAUAGAAAUUUAAACCCUUUUUAAAGUAUCAAUUGGAGGGCAAGUCUGGUGCCAGCAGCCGCGGUAAUUCCAGCUCCAAUAGCGUAUAUUAAAAUUGUUGCAGUUAAAAAGCUCGUAGUUGAAGUUCUGCUAAAAGUAACCGGUCUGCUUUUAAUAAAAGUGGUAUCUUGGUGUGUAUUUAGCAAUGAUGUCCUUUGAAGUGUUUUUUACUUUAUUGUAAUAAAGCAUAUUCAGGACUUUUACUUUGAGAAAAUUAGAGUGUUUCUAGCAGGCCGACGCUUUGAAUACUGCAGCUG
Molecule: ribosomal RNA, 611 nt
Filed under: Hepatozoon canis
Lineage: Eukaryota; Apicomplexa; Hepatozoidae
Description: bacterial SSU rRNA
Rfam family: Eukaryotic small subunit ribosomal RNA
Source: RNAcentral